AUUGAACGCUGGCGGAAUGCUUUACACAUGCAAGUCGAACGGUAGAGGGGGCAACCCCUCGAGAGUGGCGAACGGGUGAGUAAUAUAUCGGAACGUGCCCAGUCGUGGGGGAUAACGUAGCGAAAGUUACGCUAAUACCGCAUACGAUCUACGGAUGAAAGCGGGGGACUCGCAAGAGCCUCGCGCGAUUGGAGCGGCCGAUAUCAGAUUAGGUAGUUGGUGGGGUAAAGGCUCACCAAGCCAACGAUCUGUAGCUGGUCUGAGAGGACGACCAGCCACACUGGAACUGAGACACGGUCCAGACUCCUACGGGAGGCAGCAGUGGGGAAUUUUGGACAAUGGGGGAAACCCUGAUCCAGCCAUUCCGCGUGUGCGAUGAAGGCCUUCGGGUUGUAAAGCACUUUUGGCAGGAAAGAAAUCGCACAAAUUAAUACUUUGUGUGGAUGACGGUACCUGCAGAAUAAGCACCGGCUAACUACGUG
This 482-nucleotide ribosomal RNA is filed under the name uncultured bacterium. RNAcentral describes it as "bacterial SSU rRNA". It matches the Rfam family "Bacterial small subunit ribosomal RNA", at positions 30 to 507 of the family's 1533-position model. The record is from RNAcentral.